GAAUUCGCCCUUAGAGUUUGAUCCUGGCUCAGGACGAACGCUGGCGGCGUGCCUAACACAUGCAAGUCGAACGGAACUUCUUUAAUUGAUUUCUUCGGAAUGAUUUUGAUUAAGUUUAGUGGCGGACGGGUGAGUAACGCGUGAGUAACCUGCCUCUAAGAGGGGAAUAACAUUCUGAAAAGAAUGCUAAUACCGCAUAAUAUAUAUUUAUCGCAUGGUAGAUAUAUCAAAGAUUUAUCGCUUAGAGAUGGACUCGCGUCCGAUUAGUUAGUUGGUGAGGUAACGGCUCACCAAGACCGCGAUCGGUAGCCGGACUGAGAGGUUGAACGGCCACAUUGGGACUGAGACACGGCCCAGACUCCUACGGGAGGCAGCAGUGGGGGAUAUUGCGCAAUGGGGGAAACCCUGACGCAGCAACGCCGCGUGAAGGAUGAAGGUCUUCGGAUUGUAAACUUCUUUUAUUAAGGACGAAGAAAGUGACGGUACUUAAUGAAUAAGCUCCGGCUAACUACGUGCCAGCAGCCGCGGUAAUACGUAGGGAGCAAGCGUUGUCCGGAUUUACUGGGUGUAAAGGGUGCGUAGGCGGCUUUGCAAGUCAGAUGUGAAAUCUAUGGGCUCAACCCAUAGCCUGCAUUUGAAACUGCAGAGCUUGAGUGAAGUAGAGGCAGGCGGAAUUCCCCGUGUAGCGGUGAAAUGCGUAGAGAUGGGGAGGAACACCAGUGGCGAAGGCGGCCUGCUGGGCUUUAACUGACGCUGAGGCACGAAAGCGUGGGUAGCAAACAGGAUUAGAUACCCUGGUAGUCCACGCUGUAAACGAUGAU
RNAcentral lists this ribosomal RNA (821 nucleotides) under uncultured bacterium. Its description in RNAcentral is "bacterial SSU rRNA". It matches the Rfam family "Bacterial small subunit ribosomal RNA", at positions 1 to 813 of the family's 1533-position model. The record is from RNAcentral.